CACCACUAAUGUUGCUACUGAAAGUCCGACCUGCAUCAGAGUUAGCAUAACAUUAAACUGUGUGAACUUGCUAACCUGCAAAACUCGAGUAGGAAGCUGCUUAGAGAGAAUUGUCCUCCUGUAUUGUUUUCUACUGUUAACGUGAAUUAAACUGUGAGAAAUGUAGUGAACUCUGCUCGAAAAUAUAGAACCAGAAAAACAUGAGCAAGAAGCUGCUUAGAGAGAGAGGUCCCAGUCUGUGUUACACAGGAAAGUGUUGACAGUCAAACAAAACCACAUGCUGCUGCUUUUCUUCUUGUAAACGGCCUGGUUUAGAAGGAAAGAAGGCUAGAGCAUGUUGUGACUUUACACUUUUGAAACCAAAUACCUAUUAGUACAUUUAUUUAUUAAUUAAAAUGUAUUUAAUUACUAUCACCUGAACCAAUACACAUGAAAGUUAGUAGAAGUCAAUACAGAUUUAUUUUGCAUUGAUCAUUUAGCUUAUCAAUUAAUUAGGUUCAUAUUCGUGAGAAAUGUAGCCCUGACCCCCGUUCACCCAAUCUGUUUGGUCUUAUUAAUGUUCCGUCCCCAGCAAAAAGUUUACAUGCAGGUUAUGCUGUUAUAUCGUCCCUACCAAUGUUGAGACCAAACUUACGCCCUUGUCUACAGGUUAAGGUGGUAAUUUUCCGCUGCAUUAACAUCCAGUAAAAUUUUAGUAAGAACAUGAUGUCCAGUUUUAAGAAAUUAGCCCUGUUUGAAUCUACAGACUAGAAUCUGCUUUUUAACUGAUUCAGGUACCUUUGUGUAUUCAUUGCUGUGUUCACAUGUUUAUUUGACUUCCAGAUGAUGUCACUGAUAAAGUAUUGGAUGAUUAUUACAUUUGUGUCAGACUCUCUGCCAUGCAGCCACAGUAGAAGACAACUGGACCUCUAGUUUUAGGUUCUUGAAGAUGUUUCACCUCAUUGAUUGACUGUCCCACAUGUACAUUGUCCCCCUAAAUAGCACGACUAAUGGCUUAUUAACAAGUAAACACAUUAAUUCACCACUCGAGACAUGAGUCUUGGGUCAUUUCAAGGCCAUCAGUGAGUCAGGACAGAAGAAACAUUUUAAUGAACCAAAAUUAACUCUGAUCGCCGUCAGCUGAAUCACUGAGUGUCAUCAUGAUGUUUCUUUACACAUUAAGCCAAAUCCCACUCCACUAAGUUCUGUUUCUUCCUGACAAAGUUUUUUUCUUUUCAAUGUUUUAAGAGUCUGAAGAGGCCAGCAGCUCAACAGAAAUGUCCUUUUUUUCUUCUUUGACUGGUGUGAUGACUGUAAUCAUUGUAACUGGAGUUAUUCUGGGAUUUAUCCACGGGAGAAGUCGUGGUAACUGUUCAAGGUCAGAAGAUCCUGGAUCACCUGAACAUGAAACUCCUGGCUCUUCAGAUGAAAAUGAACCAGAUGAGCCUUACUCAAGCCUUCAACACCCCACAAAUGAUGUCUACCAGACUAUCACCUCAGUUCAACAUGACAGCAAGACUAAUUCAGCAAACAAUAUAACUGUGGACUUGGUCUGACUUGAUGGAUAUGAACAGUGAAUGUUAGAAUGUGAGUCCUGCCACACUUUUAAUGUGACUUUCUCCUCUUCUUCUUCUGCCUUUGAGUUACUGUUUACAAAAUCCCCUUUGCUUCAGAAAAUAGCAAAAAGAACAACCUCACAGCAGCAACUUACAGACUAAAAAUAUCUACAGUGGCAGUGAAUUAGUUAUUGAAUUACAACACUUGAUUCCCUUCAUGCAAAUGUUCCAGCAAAACAAGUUCCCUCGUCACUACUGUUGUGUUUAAACUAAAUUAAGAGUUACAGAAGUCACUGUAGAUGCAGGACUGUUGUGACUUACAUGAUCUUUCAAAGUGUACAGAAACUUUUUUUUCACAACUGUAUUUGUUUUAUUGAUGCCAAAGCAAUAUUUAAACG
Acanthochromis polyacanthus (spiny chromis) is the source of this 1933-nucleotide long non-coding RNA. RefSeq lists it as uncharacterized. The record is from RefSeq and is a predicted model, not a curated record. The transcript is spliced from 3 exons. Lineage: Eukaryota; Metazoa; Chordata; Actinopteri; Pomacentridae.